AGAUAACUUCCUUGGAAUUGCAGUGCACAAAAAUUCGUGACAACUUUUCCAUCAUAGUUACUAAAAACGGACGAGAAGUGCCGUCCCUAGAUGGGCUCGAACCACCAACCUUCCAGUUAACAGCCAAACGCGCUAACCGAUUGCGCCACAGAGACUUAUAGUGAGAGUGUUCUCUAGGUGUGAUCAGUCAUGGGCACCUCCCAAACAGAUUCAUGCUUUGUAAUUAUUUGUAUCGCUGACAAAGCUUUCCUUGCUGUCGCUGCCGUUUUCCUUGCAGCCUUUCAUUCCAUUGUUAAUAUUCGCAUUGCUCUGAAACCAAUAUUGCACUUUUUUUCCUGAUGUGCAAUAACGGGAAUUCCUUCGGUCACACAGAUUAGUUAAUUUUUUGGAAACCUUACAGCAUCUCAAAGGAGAAGGAAAGAAAUCACUGGGUAUCCUCCUCCAGUUCUGCUGUGCCUACGUAAAACUGCCGAAAGGUGCUGAUUGCCGGGUAUAGCCGCCAGUACUCUCGCCUACCUGUGCUGGAACACGGUGAAUUUGUCAAUGAAUGUCACACAUACCCUGGAAAAAAAAAACUGAUUCCAGGAAUGUGGUCAUGACAAAUCAAAUUCCAUGGUGCCCCCCUCCUAACGACACCCGACAAAAUGCAUCGCAUUCAUAGAAUCGGUAAUGGUGUUUCCCAAAAGCGGGACGAGGGAUCCAAACGAAAGGGAUCGACGUCUCGAGAUUCACGAAAGGAAAAUACGAAAGAAAACAACAAGUGCCGGAAAUACGAUGCAACUCCGGUAACCUCUGUAGUGAGAAGUAACACUUCUUCGUAACGGAAACUCAGAGGCAGCUUCGUGAGUAUACAAAAGUGAAACGUGAACGGUGAAACACGUGUGGAACUAAGUGAGUGCAACGAAUUCGACAAUGCGGCGGCUUCCCGAUUGAAGGCAAAAUGUUAGACCUAAACACCUGCAGUUGUUAAAUCCAUGAUCGCCAUCUCCGGCCCGUCAAGCCCUCCCUCCGGAAGUCUCUACCCACGAUCUAACAUCUUUCGCAGUCUACAUUUUUAUUCUGGGUGUCAGCAGAAGUCGGAGACACCAAGUGGUGAAAAUUGGGGCAGGACUGAAUUACUACCUCGGCCUGAGACGCUAAGAGCUCCUGGUCACCUUAGUAAAUAUUUGCUUCCGCAAUUA
This is a long non-coding RNA of Rhincodon typus (whale shark), 1181 nucleotides long. RefSeq lists it as uncharacterized. NCBI's taxonomy places the organism in Eukaryota, Metazoa, Chordata, Chondrichthyes, Orectolobiformes, Rhincodontidae. The transcript has 3 exons. The record is from RefSeq and is a predicted model, not a curated record.